AGAGUUUGAUCCUGGCUCAGAUUGAACGCUGGCGGCAGGCCUAACACAUGCAAGUCGAACGGUAACAUUUCUAGCUUGCUAGAAGAUGACGAGUGGCGGACGGGUGAGUAAUGCUUGGGAACUUGCCUUUGCGAGGGGGAUAACAGUUGGAAACGACUGCUAAUACCGCAUAACGUCUACGGACCAAACGGGGCUUAGGCUCCGGCGCAAAGAGAGGCCCAAGUGAGAUUAGCUAGUUGGUAAGGUAAUGGCUUACCAAGGCAACGAUCUCUAGCUGUUCUGAGAGGAAGAUCAGCCACACUGGAACUGAGACACGGUCCAGACUCCUACGGGAGGCAGCAGUGGGGAAUAUUGCACAAUGGGGGAAACCCCGAUGCAGCCAUGCCGCGUGUGUGAAGAAGGCCUUCGGGUUGUAAAGCACUUUCAGUUGUGAGGAAAAGUUAGUAGUUAAUACCUGCUAGCCGUGACGUUAACAACAGAAGAAGCACCGGCUAACUCCGUGCCAGCAGCCGCGGUAAUACGGAGGGUGCGAGCGUUAAUCGGAAUUACUGGGCGUAAGGCGCACGCAGGCGGUUUGUUAAGCUAGAUGUGAAAGCCCCGGGCUCAACCUGGGAUAGUCAUUUAGAACUGGCAGACUAGAGUCUUGGAGAGGGGAGUGGAAUUCCAGGUGUAGCGGUGAAAUGCGUAGAUAUCUGGAGGAACAUCAGUGGCGAAGGCGACUCCCUGGCCAAAGACUGACGCUCAUGUGC
This 749-nucleotide ribosomal RNA is filed under the name uncultured marine microorganism. RNAcentral's name for it is "bacterial SSU rRNA". It matches the Rfam family "Bacterial small subunit ribosomal RNA", at positions 8 to 754 of the family's 1533-position model. The record is from RNAcentral.